This 1137-nucleotide ribosomal RNA is filed under the name uncultured fungus. Its description in RNAcentral is "eukaryotic LSU rRNA". The stretch from base 507 to 1137 matches the Rfam family "Eukaryotic large subunit ribosomal RNA", at positions 1 to 649 of the family's 3401-position model. The record is from RNAcentral. Lineage: Eukaryota; Fungi.
AAGUCGUAACAAGGUCUCCGUUGGUGAACCAGCGGAGGGAUCAUUACCGAGGCGAGCGCUGAGCUCCCGAAACCCCCGCGUACGUACAGUGUUGUUGCUUCGGCGGGUAAACCUCUGAAUGCCCUCGCGGGCGCCCGCCGGAGGCCACCAGACCCGAGUCUUUGCAGCGUCUCUCUGAGCGGAUUUUUGCGAGUAAAAACCUUCAACAACGGAUCUCUUGGCUCUGGCAUCGAUGAAGAACGCAGCGAAAUGCGAUACGUAAUGCGAAUUGCAGAAUCCAGUGAGUCAUCGAAUCUUUGAACGCACAUGGCGCCCGCCAGUAUUCUGGCGGGCAUGCCUGUCCGAGCGUCAUUUCAACCCUCAAGCCCGGCUUGUGUUGGGGCGCUGUCCGAGCAGGACAGGCCCUGAAAUGCAGUGGCGAGGCCCGCCGAGGCUCCGGGCGUAGUAACCAAACGUCGCCCUGGCGCCCGCGAGCCUCCGCCGUGAAAACGUCUCCCACGCAAGGUUGACCUCGGAUCGGGCAGGACUACCGCUGAACUUAAGCAUAUCAAUAAGCGGAGGAAAAGAACCAACAGGGAUUGCCCCAGUAACGGCGAGUGAAGCGCAACAGCUCAGAUUUGAAAUCCGGCCCCCCACGGGGCCCGAGUUGUAAUCUGCAGAGGGAGCUUUCUGGCGCGGUGGCCUUCCGAGUUCCCUGGAACGGGACGCCACAGAGGGUGAGAGCCCCGUAUGGUCUGGCACCAAGCCGCUGUAGAGCCCCUUCGACGAGUCGAGUAGUUUGGGAAUGCUGCUCUAAGGGGGAGGUAAAUGCCUUCUAAAGCUAAAUACCGGCCAGAGACCGAUAGCGCACAAGUAGAGUGAUCGAAAGAUGAAAAGCACCUUGAAAAGGGGGUCAAAUAGCACGUGAAAUUGUUGAAGGGGAAGCGCUCGUGACCAGACGUGCCCCGGGCGGAUCAUCCGGCGUUCUGCGCCGGUGCGCUCUGCCCGGGUCAGGCCAGCAUCGGUUCCCGCGGGGGGACAAAAGCGGCGGGAAUGUGGCUCCCCAGGGAGUGUUAUAGCCCGCCGCCGAAUGCCUCCGGGGGGACCGAGGUUCGCGCCCUCGUGGCAAGGAUGCUGGCGUAAUGGUCACCAGCGACC